This is a long non-coding RNA of Nilaparvata lugens (brown planthopper), 325 nucleotides long. RefSeq lists it as uncharacterized. NCBI's taxonomy places the organism in Eukaryota, Metazoa, Arthropoda, Insecta, Hemiptera, Delphacidae. The record is from RefSeq and is a predicted model, not a curated record. The transcript is spliced from 2 exons.
GCCAACCGACAUCGGGGAACAUCCAGGUCAGUUGCAUGGCGUGUAUUGUAGCUGUGUAUCUGAUUUCUUGUUGACAGCUGCUGCAGGUUGUCUCUGACAUACAUCAAGGAGGACAGGAUGUAUUGGCUGUGGAUGGAGCAGCACAUCAUGGCAAUAAGGCGCGUGUCCCCACAGGAGGAUUCCAUACAAGAUGUGACUAUGAAAAAGGGAGUGAUAAGCUGAGACCAGGUAAUCCCUGGAGACAAUGUGUCUCAGUUUUCUUAUAAGGAAUAUAACCCUGGAAAGUCUUUUGCAGACCUCAGCCACAUGUUGACUCCACCUCAAC